This 237-nucleotide long non-coding RNA is filed under the name Setaria italica (foxtail millet). Its description in RNAcentral is "long non-coding RNA (SITA_LNC003540)". Lineage: Eukaryota; Viridiplantae; Streptophyta; Magnoliopsida; Poales; Poaceae. The record is from RNAcentral.
GAACAUCCAACACCUGCGGCACUUCAACCCUUCGGAUAUAAAAGCUAUGUACUCUGUCAACUUUCUCAUAUUGAAUAAAUAAAACCCCAGAGGUUCUUUGCGUACCUACUACCUUCUUGCUUUCUUAGCCGAGCUCUUAAUCACACUCGGGGGCUGUCCGACCUGUUCGACAGACCACACCCUCACCUUUACGCUCGGGGGCUUCCCCCGCUAUGCGCUGAUCUCUGAGUCCCAACU